RNAcentral lists this long non-coding RNA (1227 nucleotides) under Cairina moschata (Muscovy duck). RNAcentral's name for it is "domestica (muscovy Duck (domestic type)) lncRNA (ENSCMMG00000015844.1)". Lineage: Eukaryota; Metazoa; Chordata; Aves; Anseriformes; Anatidae. The record is from RNAcentral.
AUGCCUUCCCUCACCACCCCCUCCGCAGCGCCUCCCCGAGGGGGCCCUGGGCAGCCCGGGGAGGCCCGGCCGUGCCCUGAGGCCCGCGGCCCGGCCCCGCCCCGCCGAGGGGAGGAGCGGAGCGGCGCGGGGCGGGCGGCAGCGGCCCUGGCGCCCCCUCCCCUUUGCCGAGCGCCCCCCGGCGUCGCCCCCUCCCUCUCCUCCUCGCGGCUCCUCGGGCUCGAGUUACCCCCGGCGGCGGCAGCGGAGGGGCCGGAGGGGGGGGGGGGGGCGGCGGGGAGGGCGGGGCCGCCCCGCUCCUUUGUGUGCGUGCCUCACCCCGCCCGGGCCCGCCGCGUCCUCCAUUUUGUGGCAGGAAGCGCGGGGCGCCAUUUUCCUACCCCCACCCCCCCAGCACCCCCCCGCUCCCUCCUUCCCCGAGGCGUCGCCCCCCCGGACCCCCCCCCCCCCCCCACCUCCCACCCUUCACCCCUCUCCCCACCCCCACCCCCCUCCCCCGGUGCUUCCCCCCCGCGGCCCCACGCCGCACCCCGCGCCCAUCCCACAGCGAAGCGGCGCUUCCCUCACCCCCCGCAUCCCCUCACCCACCCCGCUUCGCCCCGCAGCCCCCUCCAUUCCCCUCACCCCCCCCGCCCCCCUUGCCCUCUCCCCCCCAGUCCAGGCCCGGCCCGGCCCGCAGCGGCCGCGCCUCACCUGCACGACGCCGGCGAACCCGGAGCGAAAAAGACCGACGGCGUGAGCGCCGCCCCUUAUAUACCCUGCGCCGGGGGGCGGGGCCUAACCGACACGUCACCGCUCCCGGCGGCCCCGAGGCCACGCCCCCUCCGGCCCGGCCCCGCUGCGCGGGCACAGGGCGGCGGCCCCGGGCCUGGAGGGGGGGGCGGGGCGGGGCCGGGCCUGAGGGGGCUGCGAGAGCCCCCGGGGGGGAGGAGAGGCACAGGGGGGCUUAGUGAGCCCCGGGAGGGCACACUGGUAUUUUUUUCUUUAAAACCAUCUUUUUUGGUCUUUUGUGCAGCCCCAGAAAGAAAAAGUUGUCUCACAAGUCACACAAAUGGAGGUAGAUGCCUCAGGAGAGGUAUCCCAAGUGCUUGUAGCCCAAGUGCUUCAGACGUGACCAAGGCGGCACCGAGGCACCGAGGGUCUGACUCCUGUGCCAGGAUCCCAAAGCGCACGACAUGCCCCUCUUCCGUACUUUCAUGUGUGAAAGUUUCUGAUGAGAGCCACUAA